UUCACUUAAACAUUAUCGAGU
Non-coding RNA from Caenorhabditis elegans, 21 nucleotides. NCBI's taxonomy places the organism in Eukaryota, Metazoa, Nematoda, Chromadorea, Rhabditida, Rhabditidae. The record is from Ensembl.